UACAGAGGUGGCAAGCGUUGUUCGGAAUUACUGGGCGUAAAGGGCGCGUAGGCGGCCUUCUAAGUCGAACGUGAAAUCCCCGGGCUCAACCCGGGAACUGCGUCCGAUACUGGAAGGCUUGAAUCCGGGAGAGGGAUGCGGAAUUCCAGGUGUAGCGGUGAAAUGCGUAGAUAUCUGGAGGAACGCCGGUGGCGAAGACGGCAUCCUGGACCGGCAUUGACGCUGAGGCGCGAAAGCCAGGGGAGCAAACGGG
Molecule: ribosomal RNA, 253 nt
Filed under: uncultured bacterium
Lineage: Bacteria
Description: partial 16S ribosomal RNA
Rfam family: Bacterial small subunit ribosomal RNA
Source: RNAcentral